RNAcentral lists this long non-coding RNA (347 nucleotides) under Physcomitrium patens. Its description in RNAcentral is "long non-coding RNA (PPAT_LNC003340)". Lineage: Eukaryota; Viridiplantae; Streptophyta; Bryopsida; Funariales; Funariaceae. The record is from RNAcentral.
UAACUUUGAUUCAAAAUUGGUAUGUAGCUUGAUCUUCAAGUCUUCUAACAUCAUACCAAAUUUCACUUUGAUCCAACUAAUAGAUCUUUAGAUAUCAUAGAAAAUCUAUCUACCUCUAAUCUACCAACUUGUAAUAUCUUCUUAUACCAAAACUCAGAUAUCUUUCAAGUACAGUAUUAGAUUAUUACAAAUUUUUACAUAUAAUUAGCAUACCCUAUUAACUAAGUACUCUCAAAAUUUGAACUAUAGAUGUGAUAUCAAUUUUACGAAGUAGCCAAGAAUGCUAGCCCUAAUUAUAUUGCAUAAAUCUCAAAUUGCUAAUAUAAACCCUAAUUUUGAACAAUAAU